This 2572-nucleotide long non-coding RNA is filed under the name Homo sapiens (human). Its description in RNAcentral is "HSALNT0302706". Lineage: Eukaryota; Metazoa; Chordata; Mammalia; Primates; Hominidae. The record is from RNAcentral.
GUCAUCUAAAAAUGACUAGUGUUCCUAAACAUGAUGUGAUUUCACAAGCUUAAACAUGUCUGACGUUCUUUUCUAACCUUUGCUGGAUGCUUCAACAGUGUUUGGCUGUCAAUAAUUUACCCUGGCUGAUUGAGUUUAUACUUGCCUGCUUUGUGAAUAAAAGUGUUUGGAUUACAAAGAAGAGAUUGAGUUAUCCUGCAGAGAGAUGGUGCAAUAAGCAGAUUUUUCUCUUCUUUCAUCCACAGCAUUAUUUCAGCUGGGAGCUGUAGUAUGUGACUAAUUAGCCAAUGGAAGUCCACUCUCUGGACUUUCUGGUGGUAUAUUUACACUGAAUUCUGGCCUGAUAAUAAAGGUGUCACCCAGUGUAACAAUGUGACACACCCAGAGUGAAGAAGAAAAGUCUAAGAUAACACAGAGCCUCUGUCAGCCCUCAAACUUAUUUUUCACAAGCUUCAGCAAUAUUCCAAACAACAAAAGAAAUAUGACUGAACAGACACAAAUUUUGAGGACAUAUUUUUUCCCCAGUAUUUUUUUAACAGGUACUACUGAUGUCCCAGUGCUUUUGAGGGUCUUGUUUGUCCUCCUGGAUGCUUUAGGAAGUUACCACUUUCAGCUCACCUAGAGCUGAUCUCAUUAAUAAAAGAAUGACUUUACAGAAAAGAGUUUCUAAAAUUAUACUCUCACUCAGAAUUGCAAGAGUUGGCUUUUCAGCCUGAAGAUAAAUUUCUUAAGCAUUAAGCUUACUUUAUCAAGUAUUACACCUGACAUUCUCUCAUAAAUUUUGCAUAUAUUUUAACUAAUUUUAAUAUUGUGUGGGCUUGGUUUAUAAUAUUCUCAUGCAGUUACUAAAGUUGAAUCUUCUCAGUCAUAUAUUAGUUGUAAGAAUGCUUAACCCCUUCCAAAAUAUCACUCACUUAAAAUCACAUCAGCUAAGUCUCCUCUUAUUUUUGCUUAUUUCUUGGUUAUUUACCAUGCAUUUUGUGUAUGUUGGAACCAGCCAUGCAGUCGUUGUAUUCCUUUUUUGAGAGGGCAAAUGUAUUUUGACAAGGUUGCUAUUGGAAACACUUUUUAAAUAUCUCAUGUGUCACAUCACAAUCAGCAUCAUAAUCUGAUCAGGUGGAUUAAUUUCAGAAGGCAGCAGAGGGCAUUGCUUACAGGGGUCACAGACAUUCAGAUCAUGGCAGAACUGUCACAGAUGUUACUUUGUGAAAACACAAAGAAUAAUGUGUUUGGAGAGAUCAGUCUUCAAUUAGCUAUAUUUUCUAGGAGCCUACCUUUACUUAGCCUCACAACAUGGGCCUUAGCUUUAGCACUUAAUCUGCACAAAUACCUGGCUUAAGUGUUAUGACUGACUGGCUAUUCAACCAAACCAUACAAAUGACCAAUUCGGUAAGAAAGCAUGAACUUCAGUGUUGAACCAAAUCAACCAACCUCCUCAAUCCAAAUGAACAAUGCUAUUCUAGGAGUCUGUGCUAGAAUAAAAUCCUAAUGCAAAGGCUGUCUUAAAAUGCUGAACCCAGAAGAAUUUGGCAUAAAUAAGACAUGGAGUUAGCUGACAUGAGAUAUUACAUUUAUUCCACUGUUGACGAGGACAAAACUGGGCCGCUAUUGUCACAGGAGAGGAUAACAAAGGAAGCUGAGGAAGUCUGUUCUGGAGGCACCAUGACAAAGCACCAGACAGAAAGCAGUCACGUGUGGGGAGAUGAGCAGAGACACCACUUCUCAAGCACCUGAUUAUUCUUUCUCAGUAUUUAGAAGCAAAAAUUAUCCUUAAGAAAAACAACCGCAAACGCAACACAGGCUACACAGAUGAGAAAAUGGGCUCAUGAAACACUGCACUAAACAGUCACAGGACCAAGAUAUAGAUUCCUAUUUCCAGGCUUGCAGAGCUCAAACCAUUACACCAUUCAGAAGCUGGCUUUGGUAUUACUUCAAGUUAUUCAAAACAGUCACCACUUGCUGAGCCUCUGAUGUCUCAUCUGUUGAAUGGAUUUCAAGAGAGAAGGCUGAAAAGGAAGGUGACUGGAAUAUUAAGAACUGUGAGAUAUUCUGAGGAAACUCUAAUUUGUAAAUUGGUAGAAAUGCCAGUAAUUUGUUGGGAAUUGAAGACCCUCUGUAUUCAAGAGCGAAGCUUGGCAGCUGUGCACUGUUGUUUUAUAAAUCAAUAUUACAUCUGAAGGUGGUGUUUGAAUGUUUGUGUCAUUGGGGUUUGUCUCCAACAUAGUCCUGUGACAAGAAAUGUUCAAACAAAACAAACACAAUCCCUUCCCUGUCCUUUAGGAUAAAGUCCAAACGUAAUUCCACAACAGGGAUAUAACAUUCAAAUCAACUACAGAACUUCUGUAAUUAUAUAAAACCCCACGACCACAGAAAUGCAAUUGAAUUGAAGACACUUUGCAAUAUUCCCCAAGAAAGGACUGUGUGGCUGUCAGAUUAACAAAAGUCAAGAGGUGGUGAGACAAUGCUCACCAUUGCAAAAAAGAGCUUUGUGCAUAAUGAACAGAAUUUGCAUGCCUGUUUAGGAAAUUAAGGUGAAGCCAAGGUGACUUAGGGUCACAUGAGGAGUCACAAC